This 500-nucleotide ribosomal RNA is filed under the name uncultured bacterium. Its description in RNAcentral is "partial 16S ribosomal RNA". It matches the Rfam family "Bacterial small subunit ribosomal RNA", at positions 30 to 523 of the family's 1533-position model. The record is from RNAcentral.
AUUGAACGCUGGCGGCAUGCCUUACACAUGCAAGUCGAACGGCAGCACGGGAGCAAUCCUGGUGGCGAGUGGCGAACGGGUGAGUAAAGUAUCGGAACGUGCCCAGUCGUGGGGGAUAACGUAGCGAAAGUUACGCUAAUACCGCAUACGAUCUAUGGAUGAAAGCGGGGGAUCGCAAGACCUCGCGCGACUGGAGCGGCCGAUAUCAGAUUAGGUAGUUGGUGGGGUAAAGGCUCACCAAGCCGACGAUCUGUAGCUGGUCUGAGAGGACGACCAGCCACACUGGGACUGAGACACGGCCCAGACUCCUAAGGGAGGCAGCAGUGGGGAAUUUUGGACAAUGGGCGCAAGCCUGAUCCAGCCAUGCCGCGUGCAGGAUGAAGGCCUUCGGGUUGUAAACUGCUUUUGUACGGAACGAAAAGGUUUGGCCUAAUAAGCUGAGCUCAUGACGGUACCGUAAGAAUAAGCACCGGCUAACUACGUGCCAGCCGCCGCCGUAA